GAGAAGGAAGACGGAGAACUUACUGACAUGUCUGAGAAUCAGGAACCACCAAAUCCGGCGGCUACCGCUGGGAGUUCGUCUUCCGGCGUUCGAAUGGAAGCAGGGCCACCGCACGAGGCGUUAUUUCUUGUACUGAGUUAUCUUCCUCUCUUUGAGCUUCUUUCCAUGAGGGCAGUGUGCGUAUCGCUGAGAGACGCAGUGGAACAUGAUGUGUUGCCGUGGCUUCACAUCCUCGUCGAUCGGCGUUUGAGCUCCCGGCUAUCCGAUUACACUCUGGGGAGAAUCGCCAGGAAGGCCGGUGGUCGCCUUAGAACUUUGGCUUUGAUCAAUUGUUUCAAGAUUUCAGAUUCUGGACUUCACGAAGUUGUUGAGAAGAAUCCUCUUCUCACCAAGCUUUAUGUACCUGGAUGCACGAGUUUGACUCCUGCGGGAGUGGUUAGGGCAGUGGAGACUUUAUCUCAACAUUCUCACAAUUUGAAGAGCCUAAUGAUUGGUGGCAUUUACAACAUAGAGAACCAACACCUUGAAGUCCUCAAAUGCCACCUUUUCAAGAACCGAUCGCAGCAGCAGCAGCAGCAGGAGCGGCAACACCACCACCUCUACCAUGAGCACAUUGAUCGGUCGAAGUUGUUGUGUAAUGAAUUCCAGCCAGUGAUUGAUGUACAAAUCUGCCCAAAAUGCUAUGACAUAAGGAAUGUUUAUGAUUGC
This 708-nucleotide unclassified non-coding RNA is filed under the name Hevea brasiliensis (rubber tree). Lineage: Eukaryota; Viridiplantae; Streptophyta; Magnoliopsida; Malpighiales; Euphorbiaceae. The record is from RNAcentral.